CUGCACCCUCCUCUCCUUGAGGUAGCUCAGAAAUUCCGACUGUUUGUAACGGUUCUAUAGAAUUAUUUUCUGGCACUGAAUUGCCUUGUGCACCAGGUGAAUCAAAUGCCUGCUUUGCAACAUCCUUCUGCUCUAAGUUCUGUUUGUUGGGAGGAGGAGGAGAAUCAAAUGCUCGCUUCGCAACAUCCUUCUGUUGCAAGUUAUGUUCGUUGGAAGCAGGAGGAGAAUCAAAUGCCCGCUUUGCAACAUCCUUCCGCUCAUAGCUGUGACUACGGCUUCGACUGCGGCGGCCAUGGCUAUGGCUUCGGCUCCGCCCUCGACCAGGACUACGGCUGUAGCUGCGGCUACGACCACGUGACCAGCUCCUGCUU
This 371-nucleotide long non-coding RNA is filed under the name Gossypium raimondii (Peruvian cotton). Its description in RNAcentral is "long non-coding RNA (GRAI_LNC003472)". The record is from RNAcentral. Lineage: Eukaryota; Viridiplantae; Streptophyta; Magnoliopsida; Malvales; Malvaceae.